UCCACUCCCUGACUGCUGCAUCCUCCAUCACUCCACUUCCCUUCUUCCUCUGUUUCUCCUUGAGGUCGAACCCAGAGGCCUGUCUGCACACUUUUGGGCCUUGCUUUUCAGUCUCUCCCUCACUCUGUCUCUCACUCAAUCCUCUGAGCUCAGCACAGAGUCUGUGGAGGAAUAAAGCAGCAGAGAGAAGCAGAAACAUCCUGGGACGCUGAAUAAAAGAUCCACCUUGGUCGGCUCUCUGUGAUUUCUGACACUCCACAUGGAAGCGAAGGCUAAAUGUGGGUCGAAGGCGGCUCCGAAGGCAGAGAAGAAAGACCCGGCGCCUCCUAAACCGGACCCCAUCCCCGCAGAGCCGGCCCAGUCCACUGAACCAGAGAAACCAGCAGAAGAUGGAGCGAACAGCCAGGAGGGGGCGCAGGAGGGGGGUGAGGGAACAGGAUUCGGGUGUGAAGUGCUGGAGAACUUGAAGCCUUUCAUCAUCGGGGGGGCCAUCGUCGCCCUUGGAGCCAUAUUGGUGGGCGUGAUCUUAUUAGCCAAGAAAAACUGAUGCUGUCGAGUGAUUGGUUGAUGAGUGAAUGGGUCACAGACUAUCAGAAGGGUGGAGUUUGAGUUUAUUACUAAUUUAUAUAUAAAGUAAUCCACUGAGUUUACUUGACCGAAAUGUGCACAUCAUUUCCAGAUGACAGUGAAGAACCGUGAUUAUUAGAGUUUGGACUUUAGUUCAGGGCAUAAAUGUCCAAACCCUGUCAGAAAAUGUGAAAAAAACCUGCUAUGAUAAUGCUAGCAUAUGGGAUUUGUAAUGUUGUGUAUUAGCGCUAAGCUAAUGCUAGUGCACAGGAAUUUUUUUGGCCGUUCUAGAUUAAACAUGCACAUUUAAAGCUUGUAAAAGACAUUCUAUGUUUUAUUAGAAGCUUGUAACAGUAAUUAACAUAUAUCUGAACUGUAGCAGUUUUACAGUGACUCUUUCAGUAAAGAGUCCUGCAUAGAGCUGCUGCCACUGUUUUCCAUUCCUAACAGCCAACACAAACCUACUUAGACUAUGACUCAUAUUCAGUCAGUGACAGAUCUAGAACCUUAAAGAGGAAUUCCAUGUUAACAUUAGCAGUAGCAUAAGUUAUUUUUUAUUCUGUAGCACAACACUCAGCACCUUAGCCUCAUAAGAUGUAUGUAUCGUUUUUGUGUUUUCUUCCAUCAGUUUUCUGCCCUUGCCCAGAUUCUCACUACAAUACCCAGCAUGCAUCACAAAAUAUGAAAGAAAUGGUGCAAAUACUUUGUAGAAACAUGGCACUGCAGCAUGUAAAGUUAGCUAUCUGGCUAACAGCCCUCAUGUAUUCAUCAAAGCCCCUGUUUCCCACCUUCAAGAUACAUCAGAAGUCUUUAAACUUGAUCUCACCCUAGAGACUACUGCGGCAACUGUGAAGACAAGUAGGAAAGUUUACAUCAGAUAGUAGUGAUGGUUACGCUUUUAUUUUGGCUGGCAUGUCCAUUUAAGGCCUUCAGUGCAGCUCCUGAAGCCCUAAUCAAUGAAAUAGCUACAGUACAGUACUUAGUAAAUACCACCAGACACGUAUUGUUGUCACUGAACCUAGGAAGAUUGAAGGAUUCCCCCUGAAAUCAACACAAUUUUGGCAAUAAUUGUGUCGAUGUAAUACAUUCAAUUCAUUAUUUAUGUGGAAAUGUGCACAACUCAGUCAAGUAAGGUCAGCGCAUUGCUUUAUUUACAUAUACAUCUGUACUUACUGCUUAUAUAUGUAUGUAAAUAUCUAUAUGAAUUGAACUAUAUGAGGUGGGGAGCUAUUGUGCUUUUCAUUUUCAAGCGCUGCUUUGAUAUUCUGAUGCUAGGAGUGACCACAGCAAUAGCCAUUAGUAGCUAGCUUUGCUUGAGGCUUAUUCAGUCGCAAAUGUGGCCGCCGCACAAUCACGUAGACACGAUAAACACAGAUAACACAAACACAGUUUUAUCUAACAGCAUUUCCUCCUGACCAAGACUCAUCACAGCUGCCAUCUCUGACAUCCUUCUAGAAUAAAAGUCCUCUGUUAUAAAUGUCAGCAUUAACUCUGUUACACUGAGGAUGUAGGUGUUAAUUAAGCUUAAAAUAAAGUGCAAUAUUACCGUAUGAUAUUUCUGUUUAGUUUUAUGGUCUCAUUAGUCGGUGACACCAUCACAGACAGGCACGGUUCAGGUAUAUAUUUGGUUUUAUGACAAAGAUGUAAUAUUUACAGUCAUAAUGUGAUCUGGCAAAUGAAAAAAAAACAUAUAUAUAUAUAUAUAUGUGUGUGUGUGUGUGUGUGUGUGUGUGUGUGUGUGUGUAUGUACACACACACAUAUACACACAUAAAUAAAUAUACGUUUAUUGAAAGUUGAUUUGGGACUGUAUGCCCUUGUGAAAAUGAAAUAUUGUUAUAUUUUGUUAAUUUAUUUCAAAAUAUAAAUGGAACAUUUAUAAUAAUUUCAGGUACUUUUGAAAAUACAGGUACUGAAAAGGAUUCUUUGCACAUUGCCAUAGAAAAAAAUUUUGGUUCCCUAAAGAACCUUUUAAAUGGAUCUUUCUUCAGAGGCUCAUUUUUGUAAAUGAGAAAAGUGACUGUGAAGAACCUUUUUUCAAAGUUUAAAGAACCACCACAUAUUGUAAAGGUUCUAGAAAGAACCUUUAAAUUAAUUUACAUUGUGUGAAGACUCUUUAAACAUUCAUAAACCUCCAAAUAUCUGUUUCCAACAUGGUUCUUCAGGGUAACAAAAGUGGUUCUAUGUCAUUAGAGCCCAUUCUACUGCAAAGAACACUGUGGAACCUUUAUUUUAAGAGUUUAUAAUACUAUUUUGUAUGUGGAUGUAUUGCACAGAUAGAGGAACUUAUAAAGAGAUUGCAGCAUACAGAUUUCACAUGGAUGCAAAAUGCAGAGGAAAAUAUGAUCAUAUAUCUGUUAUAUUUAUCAAAUACGUGUGUGUGUGUGUGUGUAUAUGUUCUUGUGCCCGUUAAAGAUUGAUUUGAUCAUUAUCAUCACUUUUCUUAUAGUUUGUUGUCUGCAAUGGAUUAAUUAUUUAUUAUUUUCAGUCAUUGUAAAUGAACACAAAACAUGAAAUGAAAGGCAUAUAUUACAGAAAUGGGAAUGUGUGUACAGAUUUUAGGAUAUUACAGAAUAUUUUAAUCUGUCUGUCUGCUUGUAGCACAUGCUGUCUAUUACUACUGACCAGACUGAGAGAAAAAGUGUAAUAUUAACUGAUUUCUUAAGCAGUCUAGUCAUUAUUCUAACAAAUUUAAGUCACUGCUCUCAUUUCCAUAUAUACAUUCUGUCCAUUUGCUCAAUGUUUAACACCCUGGAUAGCAUGAAUUACUAAAGAACACACUAAUAAUCACAUUUUACACAUUUUUUAGCAGUUUUGGAAUGCAAUUCACUUUCAUAUGGAAUCAGUCUCAGUAGGAUGGCUGUGCUAAAAUGGUCAUCGUCCAAAAGAAACACUAAAAAAUGCACGAAACAAACAGAUUAGUCACGUCAGUAGUUCUUACAGACAAUAAGAUUUUUCCUUUUCCCUCAAGUGCGUAUGUAAUGCAAUAAUACUGAUAGCACUCCGUAGCUGAGACUGAUAGAGCUGACAUUACAGGAUGAAAAGCUUUAAAAAGCUGAUAAAUGGUGGACAGUAAAGAUUCUGGCUCUGAUGAUGGAGAUAAUUAUAUGAAUACCUGCUGAUUGUUAUUGAUUUUAUUUCUUCUCCUGACAGCAGCUUUUCCAGCCGCGUUUGUCCACUCACCCACCCCCACUGUUCCCUCUGUAAUGUAUAAAUGAAAUGGCUCUCUUGUGAACUGUUGAGCUUAUUAAAGGACUAAAAACCAGA
Molecule: long non-coding RNA, 3832 nt
Organism: Colossoma macropomum (tambaqui)
Lineage: Eukaryota; Metazoa; Chordata; Actinopteri; Characiformes; Serrasalmidae
Exons: 2
Source: RefSeq, a predicted model, not a curated record